AACGUAGGAGGCUAGCGUUAUUCGGAUUUAUUGGGCGUAAAGCGCGUGCAGGCGGUCUGACAAGUUGGAUGUGAAAGCUCCUGGCUCAACCGGGAGACGUCGUUCAAUACUGUUAGACUAGAGAAUGGGAGAGGGAGGUGGAAUUCCGGGUGUAGUGGUGAAAUGCGUAGAUAUCCGGAGGAACACCAGUGGCGAAAGCGGCCUCCUAGACCAUUUCUGACGCUAAGACGCGAAAGCUAGGGUAGCAAACGGGAUUAGAUACCCCGGUAGUCC
RNAcentral lists this ribosomal RNA (273 nucleotides) under uncultured bacterium. Its description in RNAcentral is "partial 16S ribosomal RNA". It matches the Rfam family "Bacterial small subunit ribosomal RNA", at positions 524 to 796 of the family's 1533-position model. The record is from RNAcentral.